CUAUAAUGCAGUCGAGCGAACAGAUAAGGAGCUUGCUCCUUUGACGUUAGCGGCGGACGGGUGAGUAACACGUGGGUAACCUACCUAUAAGACUGGGAUAACUUCGGGAAACCGGAGCUAAUACCGGAUAACAUUUGGAACCGCAUGGUUCUAAAGUGAAAGAUGGUUUUGCUAUCACUUAUAGAUGGACCCGCGCCGUAUUAGCUAGUUGGUAAGGUAACGGCUUACCAAGGCAACGAUACGUAGCCGACCUGAGAGGGUGAUCGGCCACACUGGAACUGAGACACGGUCCAGACUCCUACGGGAGGCAGCAGUAGGGAAUCUUCCGCAAUGGGCGAAAGCCUGACGGAGCAACGCCGCGUGAGUGAUGAAGGGUUUCGGCUCGUAAAACUCUGUUAUUAGGGAAGAACAAAUGUGUAAGUAACUGUGCACAUCUUGACGGUACCUAAUCAGAAAGCCACGGCUAACUACGUGCCAGCAGCCGCGGUAAUACGUAGGUGGCAAGCGUUAUCCGGAAUUAUUGGGCGUAAAGCGCGCGUAGGCGGUUUCUUAAGUCUGAUGUGAAAGCCCACGGCUCAACCGUGGAGGGUCAUUGGAAACUGGGAAACUUGAGUGCAGAAGAGGAAAGUGGAAUUCCAUGUGUAGCGGUGAAAUGCGCAGAGAUAUGGAGGAACACCAGUGGCGAAGGCGACUUUCUGGUCUGUAACUGACGCUGAUGUGCGAAAGCGUGGGGAUCAAACAGGAUUAGAUACCCUGGUAGUCCACGCCGUAAACGAUGAGUGCUAAGUGUUAGGGGUUUCCGCCCCUUAGUGCUGCAGCUAACGCAUUAAGCACUCCGCCUGGGGAGUACGACCGCAAGGUUGAAACUCAAAGGAAUUGACGGGGACCCGCACAAGCGGUGGAGCAUGUGGUUUAUUCGAGCAACGCGAGACCUUACCAAA
This 941-nucleotide ribosomal RNA is filed under the name Staphylococcus xylosus. RNAcentral's name for it is "bacterial SSU rRNA". It matches the Rfam family "Bacterial small subunit ribosomal RNA", at positions 49 to 978 of the family's 1533-position model. Lineage: Bacteria; Bacillati; Bacillota; Bacilli; Caryophanales; Staphylococcaceae. The record is from RNAcentral.